UAAAUUGUUUUAAAUAAAUUAGAAUGUAUUCUAUUUGCAGGAGUUAUCAGUUAUAAAAUAUUAAUAUUAGAUUUUUUUCUUGACGAUAUUUUAGAGGAGGAAGUCAACAGCACAUCUACAAUAGUAGACAUCUAUUCUUUUUGGAUCGUUGUAACUAUAGUAACUAUUGUUAUAACUGGAGUUAUCUUCGGGUUUGUCUGCUGAAGAAUACGUCAUGGCUGCUCAAGGCCGACCGCAUCUGGAUCAUCUGUAUGUGAAACUCCUGGCUCUUUGGACAAAGAUGACCCUGAUGACCCUGAUGACCCUGAUGACCCUUAUGACCCUUACACAAGCCUCCAGCAUCCAGAGAGUGAUCUCUACCAAACUAUCUCAAAUUGAGCCAGCAGCAGGCCUAUCGUGACGGCCUGCUUGAACAACCAGGAAAUAGAUGGAAGAGAGGCCGAUCCAAGUUGUGAAAUCUAUUAAAACAUUUAAACCAAAUAUCAAGAUAAUAUAACUGUAAUAUGUGGAUGUUCUCGACUUACUGAGAUGGUAGGCUACUUUUGUGUCUUUGUUAUGCAAUCAAACAGAACAGGUUUGGCAGCAGAACUUGCCACACUGUAAUCAAAAGAUGUUUUAUUGCAAGUAAAAUAAAAUGUAUUGAUGCAAAUCCAAAAGUUUUGUUUGCUGCUGAGCUUAGGACAUGUGCAGGACCUUUAGAUUUGCAAACAAAACUUUUGGAUAUACAAACAAAACUUUA
Molecule: long non-coding RNA, 739 nt
Organism: Sebastes umbrosus (honeycomb rockfish)
Lineage: Eukaryota; Metazoa; Chordata; Actinopteri; Perciformes; Sebastidae
Exons: 3
Source: RefSeq, a predicted model, not a curated record